RNAcentral lists this ribosomal RNA (253 nucleotides) under uncultured bacterium. RNAcentral's name for it is "partial 16S ribosomal RNA". It matches the Rfam family "Bacterial small subunit ribosomal RNA", at positions 524 to 776 of the family's 1533-position model. The record is from RNAcentral.
UACGUAGGGGGCAAGCGUUGUCCGGAAUCAUUGGGCGUAAAGAGCGCGUAGGCGGUCCGGUAAGUCCGCUCUGAAAGUCCGGGGCUCAACCCCGGGAGGCGGGCGGAUACUGUCGGGCUAGAGUCCGGAAGAGGCGAGUGGAAUUCCUGGUGUAGCGGUGAAAUGCGCAGAUAUCAGGAGGAACACCAAUGGCGAAGGCAGAUCUCUGGGCCGUAACUGACGCUGAGGAGCGAAAGCAUGGGGAGCGAACAGG